AUGGGGGGAACCCUGAUGCAGCAUCGCCGCGUGAGUGAAGAAGGCAUUCUGUGCGUAAAACUCUGUAGUAGGGGAAGAAAGAAAUGACAGUACCCUAAUUAGAAAGCCCCGGCUAACUACGUGCCAGCAGCCGCGGUAAUACGUAGGGGGCAAGCGUUAUCCGGAAUAACUGGGCGUAAAGGGUGCGCAGGUGGUUUAACAAGUUAGUGGUGAAAGGCAUAGGCUCAACCAAUGUAAGCCAUUAAAACUGUUUAACUUGAGUGCAGGAGAGGAAAGUGGAAUUCCUAGUGUAGCGGUGAAAUGCGUAGAUAUUAGGAGGAAUACCAGUGGCGAAGGCGACUUUCUGGACUGCAACUGACACUGAGGCACGAAAGCGUGGGGAGCAAACAUUGAUUAUAUACCCUGGUAGUCCACGCCCGUAAACGAUGAGUACUACGUGUCGGGUGAAGAACUCGGUGCCGAAGUCAAACACAUUAAGUACUCCGCCCUGGGGGAGUACGCUCGCAAGAAGUA
This 513-nucleotide ribosomal RNA is filed under the name Filifactor alocis. RNAcentral describes it as "bacterial SSU rRNA". It matches the Rfam family "Bacterial small subunit ribosomal RNA", at positions 371 to 896 of the family's 1533-position model. Lineage: Bacteria; Bacillati; Bacillota; Clostridia; Peptostreptococcales; Filifactoraceae. The record is from RNAcentral.